Molecule: long non-coding RNA, 1725 nt
Organism: Anas platyrhynchos (mallard)
Lineage: Eukaryota; Metazoa; Chordata; Aves; Anseriformes; Anatidae
Source: RefSeq, a predicted model, not a curated record
UUAGAGGUUGGACUCGAUGAUCUUGAGGUCUCUUCCAACCUAGAAAUUCUGUGAUUCUGUGAUUCUGUGAUUUUUAAUUAUUACUCCAAGCUUGCUUGGAGUAGAAAGCGUCAACCGACCUUAAACAAGCCAUUGCUUCUGAUGAUAAUAUGUAUGUGUGCAUAAUGUUUGUGCCCUGGAAAAAUCAGUGAAUAUUGAAAAGCUGGACCAGUACAUGAUAUCACUGGUAUUUUUGCUUUGCUGAAUUAUCUGCAGCAGAGCUCCUUCCAAUCAGUCACAAGGAGACUUCCACGCUCUUUGAAGCUAAAAAAUCUGUGUAAUUUGUCUCCCUCUGCCAUAGUGCAAGUGCCUGUUGGAUUUCCCUGAAGAAAUUACUUUCAUUUAAUAAAGUUUAUACACUGCAUGUGCUCAUAAAUAAAUAAAUAAAUAAAUAAAAAUCCUGCUUGGUAAUCCUAUCUCUUGUAGCAUCCAUAAAUUAAUUUGUUUCUUGAGAGCAAGAAUGAUUUAUAACUCACAACAAAACAGAGCAUGAGCAUGAGCAAAUUAAGAGGAGCAUUCAGGCAGUUGGAAUGCAAUUACAGCAUAAAUGUACAUGCCGUGUUAAUGCGAUAUUAAGGUUAUGAAUUUAGUCAAACAGGAAUCAGCAUUCACAAAGAUAUGGUGCCUUCCUCCCUACAGUAUUUGUCUAGUUGUGCAGACAUGAGAAACGUCUGUAUUACUGAAAAACAAUCAGAGGGCUACCUAUGACUUUCAUAUGUGCAGACUCAAGAUGCCAUUUUAUCUCUGAGCUGCACCAGCUUGUGAACGGUGACAUACACUUUGCUCCACUGAAGAGAUAUGGCUUUUAUUCUGGUUGCUUUCCUUAGUCUAAGUCAUUGGGCAGGAAGGAUCUGCCUGCUUGGCUUGCACAGAAGCACUAGGAUGCUGCUGUGCCCACCGCCAGGCCUGGCAGGAGCCACAGGCCCAACCCAGCUGAGACGUGCAAUGGCUGGGAUGACUGGCUUUGGGUCUUAGGUUCCAGCUGAGGGUCAUCUGCCAAAGGGAGGUGUCCCUCGGGCUCUGCAGAGGGCAGCCACUGCAGCAGUUGGGGUGUCAUGCAGCACCACCUGGUCUGUGCUCAUGAGGACAGGGUGAAGGUGAUGAAUUCUACUGAAAGGGAUUUGCAGCAGCAGGAAAGGCAGAGAUGAGGCCCAUGCAAUAGGAUUUGGAGCCACAUCAGCCUUCUGGCCUGCUGGGGACCCAUUGCCCAUUCCCCUGCGCUGUUCAGGGGGAGGAGCACAAGUGGAAGAGCUGCAGCUUCUACCAGAGGAUUUGCUUCUGCACAGAGAAAGGCAUUGAUGGUUUCAUAGAAGUUGUUCCUUCACAGGUUUUCUGAUGGUGUUUGAACGAUGGCUGGGAAAAAAGAAGGUACUGCAUCGAGGGAAGGGAAUGAUUUAUCCAAACAUGAAAGACAUUUCAAAAGACAAAUAUCCCAUCCCAGACAGUUAACCUUAAGACUCCAUUACAAGGAUUAUGGUCUACUAAGAGCUGGCAACUUUUUGUAAAGAAAAAGACCUUUCAUCUCUGUACUAAAAGAAGAGAAUUUGAAGAACUGCUACCUUUUCUUUCUGCAAAAAUAGUACAAUAGUCUUUUGGUAGUAUUGUAAGAUGGCUGGUAGAAUUUAGAGGCUUUUUUUUUUUUUUUUUUAGCAAACUGAAUUAAAAUUGCUUUAAAGAAGACCUGAA